UUAACUUAUAUAGUUAGGACAAACUAGCCAAUGAUUACGAACACACUAUUACCACGAUUAUUAGAGUGACUUUUUGUAUAAUGGAUCAGGCUGACAGGGUUUUUUUUUCGCAAGACCUUGAUCCAUAUAUAUCUAGUGAAAACGACUUUCGGUUAUUUAGAAUUUUAGAUAAGUAACACUCGAACAUGUAGUGAAUGUGACGUCGUAUAAAGGGCAUUUUUACAAUUCUAAUAAUUAUGCAUAUACUUACAUACAGAGCCGAUCCUACACGUUUGGAAACUACAAGCAAAAAAUAAAUAAAAGGCCAAAAAAUGCAUUCAUCAAGGAGGCUUUGAUACCCAGCCUCCAUGCAGUACUUAUCUGACAGAAAUGCCGCUGGACCAGAGCCAUAUAUAUGAAAAAUGUGGCUGAUAAAAUAGUUAAUAAUAUGGCGGUGGGAAGCACAUGCUUCUUCUUUCGAUCCAGGACAUGCACUUAAGAUGCUAUGUAUGCAGCUUUAUAUAAACAUCUAGACUUGAAUUUUUUUUUUUGCUUAAUCUUUAGAAUUGAAGUUUUUAUUUUUGCUUUAUCUUUAGAAUUGAAGUUUUUUUUGUUUCUUCUUUAAGUUGGAAUAUAUAUUUUAACAUGAAGUAAAACCAAACUAUAACUUUUUAAGGAAAGCUGGUAAAAAAUAACAAAUGAACUAAUGUAUAGUUCCAAUAGGAAUUUUUUUCAUUUUACAUUUUGACUAAGGAUCUGGUUGGGUUAUAUUUAAAUGUAGCGGUUGUGAAUGCAUCCAAAUUUAUGGAAACAAAUUAUUGUGAUUUCAAUAAUUAUUAAGUGAUUCGUAGGACAUGCGCAAUGAUGAGAAAUUAGUGCGUGUGAGAUUUUAAUGACUAAUGUGAUACAAGUAAUUUAAUGAUCUUAAUGUCAUCAUAAAUGUUAUAGUAAAACUAUACUUCUUUCCACCAAAUUAUACAUAAAUGUCUUAGUGCUCCAUAUAAACAUGGAGAGUUAUAUAUUACGUGUAUCUAUCUUAUUAAAACAUAAAUAUUGUCUUGGACUUAACUUUUAUUUUAUAAGUUUUUUAAAUUAAAUUUAUCUUUCUACUUUAUAUUUAAACCUACAAUAAUAUUAUUUUAUUUAUACUACUAUCUAUGUUUCCAAACAAUAUACUUUUAUACUACUAUCCAUGUUUCCAAUCAACACUAUAAUUAAUCAUGCGUCCAAACAAUAUAAAAUAUUAGAUUUCAUCUUUUUAAUAAUUUUUUGCAAUUUUCUUUCAAAUUAUUUAGAUAAAUUAAAUAAUUUGAAAAUUCAAAUAAUUUAUAAAACAAC
Long non-coding RNA from Brassica rapa (field mustard), 1317 nucleotides. RefSeq lists it as uncharacterized. The record is from RefSeq and is a predicted model, not a curated record. Lineage: Eukaryota; Viridiplantae; Streptophyta; Magnoliopsida; Brassicales; Brassicaceae.